AGAAUCAACGCUGGCGGCGUGCCUAACACAUGCAAGUCGAACGAGAAAGUGGGAGCAAUCCCACGAGUAAAGUGGCGCACGGGUGAGUAACACGUGACUAACCUACCCUUGAGUGGGGGAUAAUCUAGGGAAACCUGGGCUAAUACCGCAUAAUACCUACGGGUCAAAGGAGCAAUUCGCUUUAGGAGGGGGUCGCGGCAGAUUAGUUAGUUGGCGGGGUAAUGGCCCACCAAGACAGUGAUCUGUA
This 247-nucleotide ribosomal RNA is filed under the name uncultured bacterium. Its description in RNAcentral is "partial small subunit ribosomal RNA". It matches the Rfam family "Bacterial small subunit ribosomal RNA", at positions 26 to 285 of the family's 1533-position model. The record is from RNAcentral.